This 406-nucleotide ribosomal RNA is filed under the name uncultured bacterium. RNAcentral's name for it is "partial 16S ribosomal RNA". It matches the Rfam family "Bacterial small subunit ribosomal RNA", at positions 30 to 526 of the family's 1533-position model. The record is from RNAcentral.
AUUGAACGCUGGCGGCAUGCUUUACACAUGCAAGUCGGACGAGUGGCGAACGGGUGAGUAAUGCAUCGGAAAGUGCCUGGUGGUGGGGGAUAACUGUUCGAAAGGGCAGCUAAUACCGCAUACUAUUCGAGCGGCCGAUGUCGGAUUAGCUGGUUGGUGGGGUAACGGCUCACCAAGGCGACGAUCCGUAGCGGGUCUGAGAGGAUGAUCCGCCACACUGGGACUGAGACACGGCCCAGACUCCUACGGGAGGCAGCAGUGGGGAAUUUUGGACAAUGGGCGCAAGCCUGAUCCAGCCAUGCCGCGUGUAUGAAGAAGGCCUUCGGGUUGUAAAGGACUUUUGUCAGGGAAGCGGUACCUGAAGAAUAAGCACCGGCUAACUACGUGCCAGCAGCCGCGGUAAUUC